Drosophila ficusphila is the source of this 1051-nucleotide long non-coding RNA. RefSeq lists it as uncharacterized. The transcript has 2 exons. The record is from RefSeq and is a predicted model, not a curated record. Lineage: Eukaryota; Metazoa; Arthropoda; Insecta; Diptera; Drosophilidae.
CAAAAAGUUUUUUAUUUUUUUACGGCUUUCAAAUAUAAGCAACCCGGCAAUUAAUGAUCAAAACAAACUUUUAUAACUCGCGUAAAGUAAUUACACCGAAAACUCGUUACAGUGAGCUCCACUGUGCAGGCCCAAAUGCAAAUGCAGUGGCACUCAGGCAGUACCGUUAGCCAGCGCCAUUAGCCAAGUUAAGAGAUGGAGAGGUUGGAGAGAUGGAGAGGUUGGAGAGAUGGAGAGAUGGAGAGGCUCAGCGGAUCUACACACACAUUGGCCCAUUCGCGCACACUUAUGCCAACCAUUAAUUUCCAUUUAUGGAUUAAGCAAGUGAGCGUUGCGAGCAGCGGGGAGUUUUUAAAGGGGAUGGACUGGUGGGGAAAGGGGAGGGAACUGAAGGGGGAGGGGCAGGAGCCCGCACGCACAAAAGCCUUUAAUAAAUGCAUCGCCAUUACGGGCAGCACAUGCUUAGAGGAGCAGCAAGGAGCUGGCCGCUUCAUCAGCAGCAGCAGCAGCAGUUGCUCCUUUGAGCCGAAAGUCACAGCCAGAUGGCGAUGGCCCAGCUGGCGAACAACUCAAUUGCCAAGCCAACGGUCGGUUGGUCCCCAGUUUUCCCGAGCUGCUUAUCGCCAGUUUGCCGUUGCCGUUGUAUGUUGCGUUUCGUUGUGUGGCAACUGCAUUUGCCGCAAUUCCCGCUGCUGCAGUUGCAGCUUUUCCAUCUGCCACAAAUGCGCCACUCGCCCCAAAUCUUUAAAUGCCGCUCAUGUGAUUUUUCUUGGUCGCCGCGCAGAGGAUUGGAGUCGAGUGGAAUGGAAUGGAGUUGGAGUCUCUGGGAUUAGCGCGAGUGAGUAAUGAUGUUGGCCUGCGCCGGAGACUGAGAUGAAGAUGGAGGCCGCUGCGAUGUCGACCGACGGAGAUGUGCCCAUAUGAGCGAGUGUGUGGCACCCAGGAGUACAUUCAUAUGGGGAAUGCCACAUGCUUUUAAAUGGAUAUUCUGAGUAAAAUAGAAAAUUUAAAAACUUUUACCUUACUUAUUAAAAAAAUAUAUAUAAGUUCA